This 619-nucleotide long non-coding RNA is filed under the name Zostera marina. RNAcentral's name for it is "long non-coding RNA (ZMAR_LNC001762)". Lineage: Eukaryota; Viridiplantae; Streptophyta; Magnoliopsida; Alismatales; Zosteraceae. The record is from RNAcentral.
UUUUGCACUAAUUACAUGGUUGAGAUAUUACUGAGAUGAUAUCAGAUUGUACUCCUCUGUAAGUGUAUUCUGAGCGCAAACAAUCUUCUCAAACAACUUCCUCGCGGUUUUCACACGCUCGCGAUUCCAACGGAUUUCCUACGCGAUUCUCCCACGUGUUUUCUGGCUCGUGUUUCCGGUCGCGAUUUCGUCCGUCCACGUCGCGUCUUUCCAUCCGUGAUUUCAGAUCCGUCCACGAUUUUUGACGCAAUUCUGACACGGAUUUUUGCGAUUCUCUUUGACGAAUUUUGAUACGGAUUAAUUCUUUGCGAUUAAUUCUAGACGCUCGGAUUAAUUCUUUGCUUCUUCUUCUUUGAAGCAGUAAUUCUUUGCUAUUUGCGGAUUAAUUCUUUUGCGGAUUCGCGGAUUCUGAUACUGGAUCUGCUAUUUUUUGUGAUUAAUCUUUGCUGAUUAAUUUUUGAAAUUUCCAGACUGCGAUCUCUUUAUAAGUGCUAUUUCAGAUUAAUUUUUUCUUGAAAUUUGGGGGUUUAUUUUCAGAUUCCAGACAGCACAAUUAGAUCUUGCAAUUUGUUUUUUUUUUUGGAUUCUUUAUUUCUUCUUGCGAUUUAGGAUUUCAGAC